This 793-nucleotide ribosomal RNA is filed under the name Levilactobacillus spicheri. RNAcentral's name for it is "bacterial SSU rRNA". It matches the Rfam family "Bacterial small subunit ribosomal RNA", at positions 444 to 1235 of the family's 1533-position model. Lineage: Bacteria; Bacillati; Bacillota; Bacilli; Lactobacillales; Lactobacillaceae. The record is from RNAcentral.
CGGGUGUCAGAGUAACUGUUGACGUCGUGACGGUAUUCAACCAGAAAGCCACGGCUAACUACGUGCCAGCAGCCGCGGUAAUACGUAGGUGGCAAGCGUUGUCCGGAUUUAUUGGGCGUAAAGCGAGCGCAGGCGGUUUUUUAAGUCUGAUGUGAAAGCCUUCGGCUUAACCGAAGAAGUGCAUCGGAAACUGGGAGACUUGAGUGCAGAAGAGGACAGUGGAACUCCAUGUGUAGCGGUGGAAUGCGUAGAUAUAUGGAAGAACACCAGUGGCGAAGGCGGCUGUCUAGUCUGUAACUGACGCUGAGGCUCGAAAGCAUGGGUAGCGAACAGGAUUAGAUACCCUGGUAGUCCAUGCCGUAAACGAUGAGUGCUAAGUGUUGGAGGGUUUCCGCCCUUCAGUGCUGCAGCUAACGCAUUAAGCACUCCGCCUGGGGAGUACGACCGCAAGGUUGAAACUCAAAGGAAUUGACGGGGGCCCGCACAAGCGGUGGAGCAUGUGGUUUAAUUCGAAGCUACGCGAAGAACCUUACCAGGUCUUGACAUCUUCUGCCAAUCUAAGAGAUUAGACGUUCCCUUCGGGGACAGAAUGACAGGUGGUGCAUGGUUGUCGUCAGCUCGUGUCGUGAGAUGUUGGGUUAAGUCCCGCAACGAGCGCAACCCUUAUUAUCAGUUGCCAGCAUUCAGUUGGGCACUCUGGUGAGACUGCCGGUGACAAACCGGAGGGAAGGUGGGGAUGACGUCAAAUCAUCAUGCCCCUUAUGACCUGGGCUACACACGUGCUACAAUUGAA